GUCCUUAGUUACCAGCACGUUAUGGUGGGCACUCUAAGGAGACUGCCGGUGGACAACCGGAAGGAAGGUGGGGAGUGACGUCAAGUCAUCAUGGCCCUUACGGCCUGGGCUACACACGUGCUACAAUGGUCGGUACAAAGGGUUGCCAAGCCGCGAGGUGGAGCUAAUCCCAUAAAACCGAUCGUAGUCCGGAUCGCAGUCUGCAACUCGACUGCGUGAAGUCGGAAUCGCUAGUAAUCGUGAAUCAGAAUGUCACGGUGAAUACGUUCCCGGGCCUU
Molecule: ribosomal RNA, 278 nt
Filed under: uncultured Pseudomonas sp.
Lineage: Bacteria; Pseudomonadati; Pseudomonadota; Gammaproteobacteria; Pseudomonadales; Pseudomonadaceae
Description: partial 16S ribosomal RNA
Rfam family: Bacterial small subunit ribosomal RNA
Source: RNAcentral